AUUGAACGCUGGCGGCAGGCCUAACACAUGCAAGUCGAGCGAGCGGCGGACGGGUGAGUAAUGUCUGGGAAACUGCCUGAUGGAGGGGGAUAACUACUGGAAACGGUAGCUAAUACCGCAUACCAUCAGAUGUGCCCAGAUGGGAUUAGCUAGUAGGUGGGGUAACGGCUCACCUAGGCGACGAUCCCUAGCUGGUCUGAGAGGAUGACCAGCCACACUGGAACUGCGACACGGUCCAGACUCCUACGUGGGGCAGCAGUUGGGAGUAUUGAACAAUGGGCGCAAGCCUGAUGCAGCCACGCCGUGUGUGUGAAGAAGGCCUUCGGGUUGUAAAGCACGUUCAGCGGGGAGGCGUUACCCGCAGAAGAAGCACCGGCUAACUCCGUGCCAGCCGCCGUAUC
RNAcentral lists this ribosomal RNA (401 nucleotides) under uncultured bacterium. RNAcentral describes it as "partial 16S ribosomal RNA". It matches the Rfam family "Bacterial small subunit ribosomal RNA", at positions 30 to 521 of the family's 1533-position model. The record is from RNAcentral.